RNAcentral lists this ribosomal RNA (305 nucleotides) under uncultured bacterium. RNAcentral's name for it is "bacterial SSU rRNA". It matches the Rfam family "Bacterial small subunit ribosomal RNA", at positions 335 to 657 of the family's 1533-position model. The record is from RNAcentral.
AUUCCUACGGGAGGCAGCAGUGGGGAAUAUUGCACAAUGGGGGAAACCCUGAUGCAGCGACGCCGCGUGAAGGACGAAGUAUUUCGGUACGUAAACUUCUAUCAGCAGGGAAGAAGAUGACAGUACCUCAGGAGGAAGCUCCGGCUAACUAUGUGCCAGCAGCCGCGGUAAUACAUAGGGAGCAAGCGUUAUCCGGAAUUAUUGGGUGUAAAGGGUGCGUAGACGGGAAAUUAAGUUAGUUGUGAAAUCCCUUGGCUUAACUGAGCAACUGCAACUAAAACUGAUUUUCUUGAGUACUGGCGAGG